Long non-coding RNA from Amphiprion ocellaris (clown anemonefish), 1119 nucleotides. NCBI's taxonomy places the organism in Eukaryota, Metazoa, Chordata, Actinopteri, Pomacentridae. The record is from Ensembl.
GGAUCACGUGGUGAAAUAAAACAGACGAGGAAAUCUGUUGUCCCCUAGAAGGUGUUGUGGCUGCAUGGACGCUGAGUCAUCCCUGGAAAAAUGAAGCGUUUUCACACCGUUCAGCACACACCACCCUUAACCGGACACUCCUCCAGGAAGCCGACAUCUGUGGAAUGUGAGCCCCGACACACUCGCUGCUUAUUGGCUUUAAAUAGGCGGCAGCUGAUGAAAACGAUGAUAAAUCUCCCUCCUGCCUGCAACACCAGCGGUAUGCUAAUAACGCCGGUGCAUGACAUUUCCAAAAUAUCUCCUCCGUAAGCGGCCGUCCGUCGGCUGCACCUUGAGUCCGUCCAACAGGGACAGAUGCUAUUUGCGGCCCUCGGGGGAGGCCGGCCGUGGACACCCUUCACCUUCCACCUUUCUCUUGUGGAGGUGAUGUGGUUUCUGUGCCAGCGGGGGAAGCUGUGCUGCAGUACAGAAAGGAGGAACAUGCAGGAUCCUAAAACUUUAAAUAAAUACAUCUGGUUAACAAGCCCCAACCGACAGACGUCCAACCUUCGACAAGAUGCUGCAAAUAGACGUUACACAACCUGAAAAGGAUCGAUGGUGUGAUCGUGACGUCUGUCCAGCUGACUGCAGGGGGUCUAAACUUAAUCUGUUCUCAUGUUCUGCUGCAUGCCUCGCAUCCUGAACAUCCCUGAACAUCACACGCCUCUGGUCAUUUCAUUUUCAUUCACGGCUUCGGCUGUUUACUUUGUGUGAAUAGGUGUGUGUGUGUGUGUGUGUGUGUGUGUGUGUGUGUGUGUGUGUGUGUGAGUGCGUGCGUGCGUGUGUGUGUGUGAGUGCGUGUUGUGGGGUAACAAAUGUAAUCUUGGGUCUGUAGAUGGCAGCAACACUCUUGGCCAAUCUGUCUCAAUAAAAUGGAAAAAAAGUCUUUUGUCUCGGCUUUCAGGGGCUGCCAGCUGAAACUGAAAUUAAUUGGGAAAUCCAGCGUGAAGCAAAAAACCCCAAAAACCCCACCUUAAUUGUGAAAUAAAUCUGAAGAGUUUGUUUGGCUGUGUGCCCCGCUACCUGCAGCAUGUAUGUAUUAUGUAUGCACCGUCUGUACAUGUGUUGGUUUGUUUAAAU